This is a non-coding RNA of Mus musculus (house mouse), 268 nucleotides long. Lineage: Eukaryota; Metazoa; Chordata; Mammalia; Rodentia; Muridae. The record is from Rfam.
CUAUCUGUCUGUGGCAUCUGUCACCCCAUUGAUCACUGUGGUUGAAUCAGUUGAUCUGGAUGAUUAGGUAGGUAUCCACUUUGAUGUUCAUCCUUCCUAAAGCUGUGGGCUCUCUCAAAGAAAAUAACCUAAAAUGAAUAUAAGAUGACCAGUAUUCUGUCAAGGGUAUGAGUUGCUUCAUUGUCCUAAAAUGUUCCAACAAGCUCUAAGAGGAGAUUCUAAAUUAAUAGUUCUUAUAAAGCAGAGACACUCUAUUUUCAAUGGAAUA